AAAAUUCGACAAAGUACAAGGUCGGAAUUCUUGGUCUUCUCGUUGUUGUGGUUGUUUUUUUUUUUUUUUUUUUUUUUUUUGUUUGUUGUUGU
This 92-nucleotide non-coding RNA is filed under the name Polarella glacialis. Lineage: Eukaryota; Dinophyceae; Suessiales; Suessiaceae. The record is from RNAcentral.